UCAGGACGAACGCUGGCGGCGUGCCUAAUACAUGCAAGUCGAACGAACUCUGGUAUUGAUUGGUGCUUGCAUCAUGAUUUACAUUUGAGUGAGUGGCGAACUGGUGAGUAACACGUGGGAAACCUGCCCAGAAGCGGGGGAUAACACCUGGAAACAGAUGCUAAUACCGCAUAACAACUUGGACCGCAUGGUCCGAGUUUGAAAGAUGGCUUCGGCUAUCACUUUUGGAUGGUCCCGCGGCGUAUUAGCUAGAUGGUGGGGUAACGGCUCACCAUGGCAAUGAUACGUAGCCGACCUGAGAGGGUAAUCGGCCACAUUGGGACUGAGACACGGCCCAAACUCCUACGGGAGGCAGCAGUAGGGAAUCUUCCACAAUGGACGAAAGUCUGAUGGAGCAACGCCGCGUGAGUGAAGAAGGGUUUCGGCUCGUAAAACUCUGUUGUUAAAGAAGAACAUAUCUGAGAGUAACUGUUCAGGUAUUGACGGUAUUUAACCAGAAAGCCACGGCUAACUACGUGCCAGCAGCCGCGGUAAUACGUAGGUGGCAAGCGUUGUCCGGAUUUAUUGGGCGUAAAGCGAGCGCAGGCGGUUUUUUAAGUCUGAUGUGAAAGCCUUCGGCUCAACCGAAGAAGUGCAUCGGAAACUGGGAAACUUGAGUGCAGAAGAGGACAGUGGAACUCCAUGUGUAGCGGUGAAAUGCGUAGAUAUAUGGAAGAACACCAGUGGCGAAGGCGGCUGUCUGGUCUGUAACUGACGCUGAGGCUCGAAAGUAUGGGUAGCAAACAGGAUUAGAUACCCUGGUAGUCCAUACCGUAAACGAUGAAUGCUAAGUGUUGGAGGGUUUCCGCCCUUCAGUGCUGCAGCUAACGCAUUAAGCAUUCCGCCUGGGGAGUACGGCCGCAAGGCUGAAACUCAAAGGAAUUGACGGGGGCCCGCACAAGCGGUGGAGCAUGUGGUUUAAUUCGAAGCUACGCGAAGAACCUUACCAGGUCUUGACAUACUAUGCAAAUCUAAGAGAUUAGACGUUCCCUUCGGGGACAUGGAUACAGGUGGUGCAUGGUUGUCGUCAGCUCGUGUCGUGAGAUGUUGGGUUAAGUCCCGCAACGAGCGCAACCCUUAUUAUCAGUUGCCAGCAUUAAGUUGGGCACUCUGGUGAGACUGCCGGUGACAAACCGGAGGAAGGUGGGGAUGACGUCAAAUCAUCAUGCCCCUUAUGACCUGGGCUACACACGUGCUACAAUGGAUGGUACAACGAGUUGCGAACUCGCGAGAGUAAGCUAAUCUCUUAAAGCCAUUCUCAGUUCGGAUUGUAGGCUGCAACUCGCCUACAUGAAGUCGGAAUCGCUAGUAAUCGCGGAUCAGCAUGC
RNAcentral lists this ribosomal RNA (1367 nucleotides) under Lactiplantibacillus plantarum. RNAcentral describes it as "bacterial SSU rRNA". It matches the Rfam family "Bacterial small subunit ribosomal RNA", at positions 24 to 1357 of the family's 1533-position model. Lineage: Bacteria; Bacillati; Bacillota; Bacilli; Lactobacillales; Lactobacillaceae. The record is from RNAcentral.